This 267-nucleotide ribosomal RNA is filed under the name uncultured bacterium. Its description in RNAcentral is "partial 16S ribosomal RNA". It matches the Rfam family "Bacterial small subunit ribosomal RNA", at positions 92 to 353 of the family's 1533-position model. The record is from RNAcentral.
CGACCGGCGCACGGGUGAGUAACACGUAUCCAACCUGCCGUCUACUCUUGGACAGCCUUCUGAAAGGAAGAUUAAUACAAGAUGGCAUCAUGAGUCCGCAUGUUCACAUGAUUAAAGGUAUUCCGGUAGACGAUGGGGAUGCGUUCCAUUAGAUAGUAGGCGGGGGUAACGGGCCCACCUAGUCUUCGGUGGAUAGGGGUUCUGAGAGGAAGGGUCCCCCCACAUUGGAACUGAGACACGGUCCAAACUCCUACGGGAGGCAGCAUG